This 50-nucleotide small nucleolar RNA is filed under the name Pyrobaculum islandicum DSM 4184. RNAcentral describes it as "PISsR32". The record is from RNAcentral. Lineage: Archaea; Thermoproteati; Thermoproteota; Thermoprotei; Thermoproteales; Thermoproteaceae.
GUGAUGUAAACUCUGGGGCCUGAUUUAAUGACGAAACUGACCUGCCCUGA